CAGCCGCCGCGGUAAUACAGAGGGUGCGAGCGUUAAUCGGAUUUACUGGGCGUAAAGCGUGCGUAGGCGGCUUCUUAAGUCGGAUGUGAAAUCCCUGAGCUUAACUUAGGAAUUGCAUUUGAUACUGGGAAGCUAGAGUAUGGGAGAGGAUGGUAGAAUUCCAGGUGUAGCGGUGAAAUGCGUAGAGAUCUGGAGGAAUACCGAUGGCGAAGGCAGCCAUCUGGCCUAAUACUGACGCUGAGGUACGAAAGCAUGGGGAGCAAACAGGAUUAGAUACCCGAGUAGUCCCUGUCUCUUAUAC
This 301-nucleotide ribosomal RNA is filed under the name uncultured bacterium. RNAcentral's name for it is "partial 16S ribosomal RNA". It matches the Rfam family "Bacterial small subunit ribosomal RNA", at positions 509 to 807 of the family's 1533-position model. The record is from RNAcentral.